GGAGAGAUGCCAGAGUAAAAAUGGGGUGGUCUGCAAAACCACGGCACUGUGCUAGUACACAGUCGGGGGUGUGAAUCCCCCUCUCUCCGCCA
This 92-nucleotide transfer RNA is filed under the name Edaphobacter albus. Its description in RNAcentral is "Edaphobacter sp. 4G125 tRNA-Cys". It matches the Rfam family "tRNA". Rfam says of the family: Transfer RNA (tRNA) molecules are approximately 80 nucleotides in length. Their secondary structure includes four short double-helical elements and three loops (D, anti-codon, and T loops). The record is from RNAcentral. Lineage: Bacteria; Pseudomonadati; Acidobacteriota; Terriglobia; Terriglobales; Acidobacteriaceae.